AGCGAACGCUGGCGGCAGGCUUAACACAUGCAAGUCGAACGCCCGGGCAACCGGGAGUGGCAGACGGGAGAGUAACACGUGGGAACGUACCCUUCGGUUCGGAAUAACCCAGGGAAACUUAGGGCUAAUACCGGAUACGUCCGUAAGGAGAAAGAUUCAUCGCCGAGGGAUCGGCCCGCGUCCGAUUAGCUAGUUGGUGAGGUAAUGGCUCACCAAGGCGACGAUCGGUAGCUGGUCUGAGAGGAUGANCAGCCUCACUGGGGACUGAGACACGGCCCAGACUCCUACGGGAGGGCAGCAGUGGGGAAUAUUGGACAAUGGGCGAAAGCCUGAUCCAGCCAUGCCGCGUGGGUGAUGAA
This 359-nucleotide ribosomal RNA is filed under the name uncultured bacterium. RNAcentral's name for it is "bacterial SSU rRNA". It matches the Rfam family "Bacterial small subunit ribosomal RNA", at positions 29 to 412 of the family's 1533-position model. The record is from RNAcentral.